CUUCACCAUCAGUUUCUCAAACACAUUCUUUUCAGCUUCUUAAAAUAAAAAAUGGCGUCGACUUCAUCUGCUAAAACAAUUUACGACGUUUUUCUUAGUUUUAGAGGAGCUGAUACCCGCGACAAUUUCACUAGCCACCUUCGCCAGAAACUGUUAGACAACAAAAUCGAAACUUUCAUAGACGAUAGGAUCCAUAGAGGAGAAAAAAUUGAAUCGUCGCUCAUGAAAGUCAUCCAAGAGUCUCAGCUUUCAGUAAUUGUUUUCUCGAAACGCUAUGCAACUUCUCCGUGGUGUUUGGAUGAACUCGUCAAAAUUAUUGAGUGCAGAGAACUGACGGGUCGGACUGUUCUGCCCAUUUUCUACAAUGUUGAUCCAUCUCAUGUUCAACACCAGACUGGAAUAUUCGGAGACGCCUUUGAGGAGCUUGAAGCAGAGCAUAGUCAUAGUAUGGCUAAAUGGAGAAAAGCGUUGACGGAGGCCGCCACUCUUUCAGGUUGGGAUUCACAAAAUUACAGGCCGGAUUCCAAAUUAGUUGAAGUGGUUGUUAAAGACAUUAUCAACAAAAUUUCUCCUGCCUCCUAUAGUAUUUGCAAUGAUUUGGUUGGGAUUGACUCGCACAUUUGGCAGAUUCUACCAUUACUCUGCAUAGAGUCGCUAGAUGUUCGUGUUCUUGGGCUUUGGGGAAUGGGUGGUAUAGGGAAAACAACCAUUGCGGAAGCCCUUGUUAGUCAAAUGUCUAACCAAUAUGAUGGGUGUUGCAUUCUAAGCAAUGUUAGGGAAGAGUCAUCAAAAAGUGGAUUAAUUCAUCUUAGAAAAUGUUUGUUUUCAAAGAUUUUGGGUGAUGAUAUUUUGAGUAUAGAAAUGUCUCAUGUGCUUCCGACUUCUGUUGUAAAUAGACUUAGAAGAAAGAAGGUCAUUGUUGUUCUUGAUGAUGUAAGUGACUCUGAACAAUUAGAGGUUCUAGCUGGAAAUCGUAGUUGGUUUUGUCCAGGAAGCAGAGUUAUUGUGACAAGUAGAGAUAAACAAGUACUUCUAAAUAUGGCUGAUAGUAUAUACGAGGUUAAAGGAUUAGAUGACAUUGAUGCGCAUCGACUGCUGAUUUUGAAGGCUUUCAAAGAUGAGCACCCUCCAGAGAAUUAUACAAAUUUGUUAGCAAGAGCUCUCAAUUACUCUAAAGGUGUUCCGUUAGCUCUUAAAGUGUUGGGUUCCCAUCUAUGCAAAAGGUCGCCAAGAGAGUGGGAAUUUGUAUUGGACAAACUGAAACAAUCUCCUGACUUGAAAAUUCAGAAAAUCCUAGAGGUAAGUUAUGAUGAACUAGAUAAUGAGGCGAAGAACAUAUUUCUUGACAUAGCUUGCUUCUUUAAGGGUUCAAGGAGAUAUUGGGUGGAAGAUAUACUAAAUGGCUGUGGUUUCAGUUCAAGCUGGGGAAUAAUGUGCUUGAUAGAUAAGUGUCUUUUAACUAUUGGAUCCUGCAAUACGUUGGAUAUGCACGAUUUAAUACAGGAAAUGGGUCGACAUAUUGCCCAAAGAGAAGGAAGUAGAUUGGAGAAUUCUAAGGUCAUCUGUCAAAUGUUAGCAAAUACAAAGGGGAAGGAAUCAGUACAAGGCAUAUGUUUGGACUUGUCAAAAACCGAUAAGAUUUUCUUGCAUCCAAAAUCCUUCUCACGGAUGCCAAACUUAAGGUUGCUCAAGUUUUAUAGACAUAGACAAAGGGAACAAAAGCCUGUCUUCAUGCUUGAAUCUGGUCAAUCAGAGUAUCUUAAGUGUCUCCCUAGCAUGCUAAGUCUUAUCCACUGGGAAGAAUAUCCUUACAAGUCUUUGCCUUCAAAAAGUUUCAUGGAGAAUCUUGUUGAACUUAACAUGCCAAACAGCAAUAUCACACACCUUUGGGAUGGAGAUAAGUGUCCUCGAAAUUUAAAGAAGUUGGAGCUUUUCGGGUGCCGGCAACUAAUGAGACUCCCUGAUCUCUCUUCAGCUACAAGAUUGUAUAAAAUAGACCUUUUUUUAUGUGAAAGUUUGGGUGAGAUUGACUCAUCCAUAAAGCUCCUUUAUAAUCUUACCCAUCUCUAUCUACAUGGGUGCAAGAAGCUGAAGACUCUUCCAGAGAUUCCGCCAAACAUACAACAGUUUGAUAUAAGCAACUCUGGAGUGGAAGAGUGGUCCUCAUCAAUUCAAUUUCUUGACAAUCUUGUGUACAUAAAUAUGUAUUCUUGCAUAAAUAUUACAAAUCUUCCAAUCAAGCUCCGGUUGAGUUGUGUUUCCAAUGAAGAUACCUCACACCUUAAUCUCAGCGGCUGCCAAAAUCUUCAUAAGCUGCCAGAGAUAAAAGGAAACAUUAAAAAGUUGGAUUUAAGUAUGACCGCAAUAGAAGAAUUGCCAUCUUCGAUUGGAUAUUCCUCACCAUCACUUGUUUCUUUAUUUAUGUUUGACUGUAAAAAUCUCAAGACACUCCCAGAUAGCAUUUGCAAGUUGAAAUACCUUCAAGUUCUUGACCUCAGAGGCUGCUCAAUAUUAUCCAAAUUGCCUCCUUUAAAUGGUUUGAGCUCUUUAAAAGAUCUCGAUCUCGGUGGCUGCUCAAAACUUGAGGAAUUGCCUCUUCUAUAUGGUUUGGAUUCUUUAGAGAAGCUAAGUCUUGAUAGGACUUUACUUGUAGAGAUCCCCAAUGACAUUGUCUCUUUAUUAUCGUUAGAGAAAUUGAGUCUAAAAAACUGCAAGAGACUACAAAGUUUGCCUAAGCUUCCGCAGCAGCUAAGCCAACUCCAACUUGAAAAUUGUACAUCUUUGGGAACUGCAGAAGUAUCUUAUCAUAUUGUAACCGCAGUUUUACCUUCCCAUCACUGGUUCAAUUAUUGUAAUUGUGUGAACUUGGAUGACGAUGCUCUUUCCAAUAUUCUUGCAGAUGCAUGGUUGAUCUUGAAAGAAUUAUCCAUUGCUUUUAAGGAUGCUAGGAAGCACUCCAUGUUUUCUUAUGAAGCUUCUCGGAAGCACUUCGAGUUUUUUUAUGAAGCUUGUAUUCCAGGAAGUGAAAUACCAGAUUGGUACAGCUAUCAAAGCCAAGGAUCUUUAAUAGCAACUAAGUUCCCUCCUUUUAGCUUUACCACUUUGUUCCUUGGUUUUGCCUUUUCUUUUGUUCUUGAGAUCUGUCUCUUCCAAUUGAACUCUCUCUCUUCCAACUGGCUCUAUUUUAGAUGUGAUUGCCACUUCAAAAAUGCUAAUGGCAAAGAACAUUCGCACUAUAGUAAUUGCAAGAAACGUUAUGCUGUGACCGAAUCAGAACAUGUAUUCCUUUGGUAUGACUUAAAUUGGGAUUCUAAGAAAAACAAAUGGCUCAUAGAAAAUGGUUUCAGUGUCAACAACGCUUCUUUUAAGUUCCGUGUUUUUAGUGGAUGGGGACUCAAUAGGAAAGAAUUAAAGGUGAAAACGUGUGGGGUACACCUGAUAUACGAAGAUGUGCAGGAAAAAUGGAAUAGAAGCAGAGUAACCAACAAAAAGAGACGCAUUAGAAGCAAUGAAGAGGAACCACUCCCUAAAAGAAUGAAAGAUGAUUCAGAAGAUGUUAUGGAAUCAGAAGGGACAGAUGAAGACGAAGAUGAAGAAGAUGCAGAUGAGGAAGAACUUGAUUUGGAAUCAGAAACGAGCUAUAAAGACGAAGAUGAAGAUGAAAAUGAAGAUAAAGAUGCAGUAGAUGAAUGGAAAAAGAAAGUUCGGUCGGAUGAGCUAGAUUUUGAUUCUGAAUUUGAAUUUGGUUCUGAAUUUGAAUUUGAUUAUGAAUUUGAAGGGAUAGAUGAAGAUGAAAAUAAAUAAGGAGAUGAAAAUGAGUAGGACGAAGAAGGAGGAGGAGGAGAUGAAUUUGAUUCUGUACGUUAAUAAUCCGUUGCUUCGCAAAAAACAUAUCAAGGUCUGCUGCCGCAUACAUUGGACGGAAAAACAGCCAUCUUCAUCAAAAACUGGUGGAUAAAAAUAUCCAAACUUUCAUAGACAAUAGGCUUGAUAGAGGUGAAGAGAUUGAAUCAUCCCUU
Mercurialis annua (annual mercury) is the source of this 4019-nucleotide RNA transcript. It is a transcript of the gene named disease resistance protein RPV1-like, with no coding region annotated. The transcript has 8 exons. Lineage: Eukaryota; Viridiplantae; Streptophyta; Magnoliopsida; Malpighiales; Euphorbiaceae. The record is from RefSeq and is a predicted model, not a curated record.